RNAcentral lists this ribosomal RNA (506 nucleotides) under uncultured bacterium. Its description in RNAcentral is "partial 16S ribosomal RNA". It matches the Rfam family "Bacterial small subunit ribosomal RNA", at positions 29 to 523 of the family's 1533-position model. The record is from RNAcentral.
AGUGAACGCUGGCGGUAGGCCUAACACAUGCAAGUCGAACGGCAGCACAGAUGAGCUUGCUUCUUGGGUGGCGAGUGGCGGACGGGUGAGGAAUACAUCGGAAUCUACUCUGUCGUGGGGGAUAACGUAGGGAAACUUACGCUAAUACCGCAUACGACCUACGGGUGAAAGCAGGGCAUCUUCGGACCUUGCCCGAUUGAAUGAGCCGAUUUCGGAUUAGCUAGUUGGCGGGGUAAAGGCCCACCAGGGCGACGAUCCGUAGCUGGUCUGAGAGGAUGAUCAGCCACACUGGAACUGAGACACGGUCCAGACUCCUACGGGAGGCAGCAGUGGGGAAUAUUGGACAAUGGGCGCAAGCCUGAUCCAGCCAUACCGCGUGGGUGAAGAAGGCCUUCGGGUUGUAAAGCCCUUUUGUUGGGAAAGAAAUCCAUCUGGUUAAUACCCGGGUGGGAUGACGGUACCCAAAGAAUAAGCACCGGCUAACUUCGUGCCAGCCGCCGCCGUAA